UAAUAUAUGCAACGCUUGGCCCUCGUGUCUGACAUGUAAUGGACACUGUUAUCUUUAAUUGCAAAGCUAAUAUUUAUUCAACCCUGUAAUAAAACAGAGUCCUAGGUGUCUGUGAAGUAAUGAGGAGGAUAUAAACCUCUGAGCAAAGCUGAGUGAGCUUUCACAACCAUGAGGUUCUCUAAAAAUGACAAAGCAGACCCUUGAGCUCAUCUGGCUCUAAGAGUGUCCUAAGCACUCACUCCAUCUCCUACUGGAUUGAUGUAAGUAUAAAACACCUUCAUGGGCAAUUCAACUGUUAGGAAAGAGGUGUAAGCCUCACACCACAGACUGCAGAGAUAGUAAUACCUGUUGUGAGAAGCUGUCUGGUAUCCAACUGCCAAAGCCUGUCUCAGGAUAUCAUUCACCAGCUGUUCUGUAGCCUACAAUGGAAGAUGCUGUUAUUCUUCAAAUGGCCAUCUGCUUGCUGGCAAGAAGGGACACAUUUAACCCCAUCCCUUACCCCAAAUGUUUGAAACCACUGCAACUAGGGAUUAAAAAGUCCUUAAGAAAAAAUUAAAGGCCUCAAUAAUAGACCAUAAUGAUAAAGGCCAUGAUUCUGAGAAAUUAUGAAUUGGAGUGAUUUUCAUUAAUCAGACAUUAUUCUAUUUAUUUAUUUAUUUUGAGAUGGAGUCUCACUCUCGCGCCCAGGCUGGAGCGCAGUGGCGCGAUCUUGGCUCAGUGCAACCUCCGCCUCCCGGGUUCAAGCGAUUCUCCUGCCUCAGCCUCCCAAGUAGCUGGGAUUACCAGGCACCCACCUUCAGGAUCAUGUCCUCCACCACGGACGCAUACACGUUCCUGUGGAGUGCCACGGGCUGCAGGGUGAUCCCAAUCUGGAAAAGCAGAAGAAAGCCGUUUGUUCGUAUCGCUGCUUUAGAAACAGCCUCUCUCCAAACAAGCAUACCUCCCUGACAUGCAAAGCGAUGCCUGGUUGGAAGGAGGACUCUGCAAACAUAUUGGGCAAAAUUCACGGGAAAGGAACACGGAAUAUAACAUCUAGAAGAAUGUUAUCUUGUUUUUCCACAUUUCUGGCUGAUAUUUAAAAUAUGACUAUAAUCCUAUUAAAAUCUCUCAAAUCUCCUUCGUGGGAGAACAUGGUUGGGAUCUGCCUGGGUUCUGAUACGCAAUCAACACUUUGAAAGGUCUGGAAUCAGACUCCAACGUCCUGUUUGCACUUGGAAACUGCAUCUUGCCCAUUCUUCAUGGCAUCCAAUGAAAGCACACUGUCUUUCACCUUGGGCCCUGAGCAACUGGCAGAUGCUGAAGAGCUGUUAGGCUCCAGCAGGGUGGAUAAAUACCUCUCUCCUGUAUAGUAAGGCAGGUGCACGCCAUCUGCACCACAGGCGGGGCACUCAGGAGCUAUCAACACAUCAGGGGAGGAUUACGCGCUGACGUGCAACUCAGAAAGAGUACGACGUGCCUCAUGAGGGAAAGGUGCUUCUACUGAGGCAGAUGAGAAAAACAAGAUGAAGAGUAAUCAACCAUUUCUAUCUAGCCAGCUUUGCUUCACGUCUGCGUUCAACAAGCAAUGUUUUCACAUGUAAUUAGCAUUUCUGCCCAAGGGCUCUGAUGUGGGACGGUGGGAGCCCUGAGAGCACACCUGGGUCAACCAGGCAGAAGGAAGUCAAGCAUCUACGGCACCAGAAGAGUCUGGGUCUGAGUCUGUGUCUGUGAGGCUGAACACCUGGGUCUGGGUCUGUGAAGCUGAACGUCUGAACAUCUAGCUCUGAGCUGGUCUGCUGCAUGAACUAUUAACACCACAACCCCUACCUUCUGUGUGACAUCCCCAAUAAAUUCAGACCCUGGGGUUGGUGGCAGGUAGAACUUGACUUCCUCUUGUUUCUCUUCCUGCUCCUUCUUGAUGUUUAUCUUCACUGGCUCGGAGAGGCUGAGGAUGUCCACCUCCUCCUCAUUCUCGGGUUCCCUUUUCUGGAACUGUUGCAGGUCCUCCAGUUUGCGGCAGAGGUUGUCAGCAGAGGAGAAUGAUGAUGGGCACUCUAAAUGACAGGCAAGCAGUGUUACAACAGCUGUGGGGCCAACGGAAGAGGACUUUCCGUCUCCAAGAGACCCAUGGUCUGAGGAAGGGGGAUAAGCAUCAGGGGAGCUGACCUUCUUUCCAGUUCUAACAUUCUAUGGAUCUAUAAUGAUGAGAACUAGUAAUUCACGAGGGAGAAAGGCAUAAACACAGGCAUCUUGUGUGUGAUCUAUGUAAGGUAACUGCCAUCUAAGAUGAAAGAGUAGGAAUUCUCACUUCUGCCACCAAAAACCAGGUCAUCCCCCUCCCUCUGAGUAUUAAGGACUGACCUGAUUUUUCCUCAUCUCAAAUCUGGAAAAUUUAGAAAUGCAGAGUGAAGAAAAUAAAAAGAAUCACCCCUAUUCUCACUGCUCAGAGAGCAGGACUGUUAA
Long non-coding RNA from Homo sapiens (human), 2442 nucleotides. Ensembl annotates it as YEATS2 antisense RNA 1. Its record names the gene YEATS2-AS1. The record is from Ensembl. NCBI's taxonomy places the organism in Eukaryota, Metazoa, Chordata, Mammalia, Primates, Hominidae.